RNAcentral lists this ribosomal RNA (499 nucleotides) under Bergeyella zoohelcum. RNAcentral's name for it is "bacterial SSU rRNA". It matches the Rfam family "Bacterial small subunit ribosomal RNA", at positions 9 to 498 of the family's 1533-position model. Lineage: Bacteria; Pseudomonadati; Bacteroidota; Flavobacteriia; Flavobacteriales; Weeksellaceae. The record is from RNAcentral.
GAGUUUGAUCAUGGCUCAGGAUGAACGCUAGCGGGAGGCCUAACACAUGCAAGCCGAGCGGGAUUUGUUGGUUAGCUUGCUAACUAAUAAUGAGAGCGGCGUACGGGUGCGUAACACGUGUGCAACCUGCCUUUAUCUGGGGGAUAGCCUUUCGAAAGGAAGAUUAAUACCCCAUAAUAUAUUAAUUGGCAUCAAUUGAUAUUGAAAGCUCCGGCGGAUAGAGAUGGGCACGCGUAAGAUUAGCUAGUUGGUGAGGUAACGGCUCACCAAGGCUGCGAUCUUUAGGGGGCCUGAGAGGGUGAUCCCCCACACUGGUACUGAGACACGGACCAGACUCCUACGGGAGGCAGCAGUGAGGAAUAUUGGACAAUGGGUGAGAGCCUGAUCCAGCCAUCCCGCGUGAAGGACUAAGGACCUAUGGUUUGUAAACUUCUUUUAUACAGGGAUAAACCUACUCUCGUGAGGGUAGCUGAAGGUACUGUAUGAAUAAGCCCCGGCA